CUUCUGGAUUGGAUGAGAAGUCGGGCCUGCCCACUGAAGAAAAUUAAAGGGCCGCGGUAUUUUGACUGUGCAAAGGUAGCAUAAUCAUUAGUCUUUUAAUUGAGGACUGGAAUGAAUGGUUUGACGAAAUAAUAACUGUCUUAGUUUGGUUAAUUGAAAUUUAUUUUUGAGUUAAAAAGCUCAAAUGAAAGUUGGGGACGAGAAGACCCUAUAGAUCUUUACGUAAUUAUUAAUUUUAAUGUUUAGAAUUUUUAAAGUAAUAUUAAAAAAUUAUGUUUUGUUGGGGUGACAUGAGAAUAGAAAAACUUCUUUUAAUGAAAACAAAAGUUAUUGGAUUUUUGAUCCUUUAUUAUGGAAGGAAGAUUAAGAUACCUUAGGGAUAACAGCGUAAUUUUAUUGGAAAGUUCAUAUUGAUAAUAAAGAUUGCGACCUCGAUGUUGGAUUAAGAUAAUAAUUGGGUGCAGAAGUUUAAUUAAUAAGUCUGUUC
RNAcentral lists this ribosomal RNA (487 nucleotides) under Koghiella sp. NC. RNAcentral describes it as "partial 16S ribosomal RNA". It matches the Rfam family "Bacterial large subunit ribosomal RNA", at positions 1833 to 2582 of the family's 2925-position model. The record is from RNAcentral. Lineage: Eukaryota; Metazoa; Arthropoda; Insecta; Orthoptera; Trigonidiidae.